This 1050-nucleotide ribosomal RNA is filed under the name Aptinothrips stylifer. RNAcentral describes it as "SSU rRNA". It matches the Rfam family "Eukaryotic small subunit ribosomal RNA", at positions 713 to 1771 of the family's 1831-position model. Lineage: Eukaryota; Metazoa; Arthropoda; Insecta; Thysanoptera; Thripidae. The record is from RNAcentral.
GCGGUGCUCUUCACUGAGUGUCGAGGUGGGCCGGCACGUUUACUUUGAACAAAUUAGAGUGCUUCAAGCAGGCUGGAUAUUGCCUGAAUGCUAGUGCAUGGAAUAAUGGAAUAGGACCUCGGUUCUAUUUUGUUGGUUUUCGGAACCAGAGGUAAUGAUUAAUGGAGACAGGCGGGGGCAUUCGUAUUGCGACGUUAGAGGUGAAAUUCUUGGAUCGUCGCAAGACGGACCGAAGCGAAAGCAUUUGCCAAGGAUGUUCUCGUUGAUCAAGAACGAAAGUUAGAGGUUCGAAGGCGAUCAGAUACCGCCCUAGUUCUAACCAUAAACGAUGCCAGCUAGCGAUCCGUUAAAGUUCCUUUGAUGACUUAACGGGCAGCUUCCGGGAAACCAAAGCUUUUGGGUUCCGGGGGAAGUAUGGUUGCAAAGCUGAAACUUAAAGGAAUUGACGGAAGGGCACCACCAGGAGUGGAGCCUGCGGCUUAAUUUGACUCAACACGGGAAACCUCACCAGGCCCGGACACUGGAAGGAUUGACAGAUUGAGAGCUCUUUCUUGAUUCAGUGGGUGGUGGUGCAUGGCCGUUCUUAGUUGGUGGAGCGAUUUGUCUGGUUAAUUCCGAUAACGAACGAGACUCUAGCCUGCUAACUAGUCGUUUCCGGCUUCUCUUUGCAGCCGGCGAAGACAAAUCUUCUUAGAGGGACAGGCGGCUUCUAGCCGCACGAGAUUGAGCAAUAACAGGUCUGUGAUGCCCUUAGAUGUUCUGGGCCGCACGCGCGCUACAAUGAAGGUAUCAGCGUGUCCUCCCUGGCCGAAAGGUCCGGGUAACCCGCUGAACCACCUUCGUGCUUGGGAUUGGGGCUUGAAAUUGUUCCCCAUGAACGAGGAAUUCCCAGUAAAGGCGUGUCAUUAGCACGCCUUGAUUACGUCCCUGCCCUUUGUACACACCGCCCGUCGCUACUACCGAUUGAAUGAUUUAGUGAGGUCUUCGGACUGGCGCGCGGUGAUCUCUCGGGAUCGCCGAUGCCGCCGGAAAGAUGACCAAACUUGAUCA